UAUCCUGGCUCAGAUUGAACGCUGGCGGCAGGCUUAACACAUGCAAGUCGAGCGGGGAUUGGGUGCUUGCACCUAAUCUUAGCGGCGGACGGGUGAGUAAUGCUUAGGAAUCUGCCAUUUAGUGGGGGACAACAUUCCGAAAGGGAUGCUAAUACCGCAUACGCCCUACGGGGGAAAGGCAGGGGAUCUUCGGACCUUGCGCUAAAUGAUGAGCCUAAGUCGGAUUAGCUAGUUGGUGGGGUAAAGGCCUACCAAGGCGACGAUCUGUAGCGGGUCUGAGAGGAUGAUCCGCCACACUGGGACUGAGACACGGCCCAGACUCCUACGGGAGGCAGCAGUGGGGAAUAUUGGACAAUGGGCGGAAGCCUGAUCCAGCCAUGCCGCGUGUGUGAAGAAGGCCUUUUGGUUGUAAAGCACUUUAAGCGAGGAGGAGGCUACUUGGAUUAAUACUCUAGGAUAGUGGACGUUACUCGCAGAAUAAGCACCGGCUAACUCUGUG
This 499-nucleotide ribosomal RNA is filed under the name uncultured Acinetobacter sp. RNAcentral describes it as "bacterial SSU rRNA". It matches the Rfam family "Bacterial small subunit ribosomal RNA", at positions 15 to 507 of the family's 1533-position model. Lineage: Bacteria; Pseudomonadati; Pseudomonadota; Gammaproteobacteria; Moraxellales; Moraxellaceae. The record is from RNAcentral.